Molecule: ribosomal RNA, 192 nt
Filed under: uncultured bacterium
Lineage: Bacteria
Description: partial 16S ribosomal RNA
Rfam family: Bacterial small subunit ribosomal RNA
Source: RNAcentral
UGAAAUUCGCCUUCAUGAAGCCGGAAUUGCUGUAAUGGCAGGUCAGCAUACUGCCGUGAAUACGUUCCCGGGCCUUGUACACACCGCCCGUCACACCAUGAGAGUUGGAGAUACCCGAAGCCUGUGAGCUAACAAACGAGGCAGCAGUCGAAGGUAGAAUCAAUGAUUGGGGUGAAGUCGUAACAAGGUAUC